GACGAACGCUGGCGGCGUGCUUAACACAUGCAAGUCGAACGGAAAGGCCCUGCUUUUGUGGGGUGCUCGAGUGGCGAACGGGUGAGUAACACGUGAGUAACCUUCCCUUGACUUUGGGAUAACUUCAGGAAACUGGGGCUAAUACCGGAUAGGAGCUCCUGCUGCAUGGUGGGGGUUGGAAAGUUUCGGCGGUUGGGGAUGGACUCGCGGCUUAUCAGCUUGUUGGUGGGGUAGUGGCUUACCAAGGCUUUGACGGGUAGCCGGCCUGAGAGGGUGACCGGCCACAUUGGGACUGAGAUACGGACCAGACUCCUACGGGAGGCAGAAGUGGGGAAUAUUGCACAAUGGGCGGAAGCCUGAUGCAGCAACGCCGCGUGCGGGAUGACGGCCUUCGGGUUGUAAACCGCUUUCGCCUGUGACGAAGCGUGAGUGACGGUAAUGGGUAAAGAAGCACCGGCUAACUACGUG
Molecule: ribosomal RNA, 468 nt
Filed under: uncultured bacterium
Lineage: Bacteria
Description: partial 16S ribosomal RNA
Rfam family: Bacterial small subunit ribosomal RNA
Source: RNAcentral